This 333-nucleotide long non-coding RNA is filed under the name Haliotis rufescens (red abalone). RNAcentral describes it as "uncharacterized LOC125376857". The record is from RNAcentral. Lineage: Eukaryota; Metazoa; Mollusca; Gastropoda; Lepetellida; Haliotidae.
GGCCACUCUCCCUUCCAUGGAUCUGGACACGCUCCCCCUGCUUGAGGCUUCUUGGUCACCAGCAUCACCGGAAGAUGUUCAUGUCUACUCCUCAGGGAGGCCAUAGACUGUACGUGUUGAACGGAUGGACCUCUCACAUGGUUGAGGGAGGACCACCUCUUAUGGGAUUGAAGACAGAAGAGCUUGAAGAUGGAAGAGGAAAACGUUGUCGCGUUAUUGUUGUUGUUGUUGUUGUAGGGACAUGCAAAGCACUCCCUCCUCCAUUGACUUUUCGUAUUUCCAUUGUAUCUGGUUGUGAUUGGUUUUUUCAUUAUUAAACAGUGAUUGAUUGAA